GUGCUCACUUUGGCAGCACAUAUACUAAAACUGAAAUAAUAAUACAGAUUAGCAAGGCCCCUGGGCCAAGGAUGACACAAAUUCAUGAAAAAAAAACAAUUUAA
Molecule: non-coding RNA, 104 nt
Organism: Ictidomys tridecemlineatus (thirteen-lined ground squirrel)
Lineage: Eukaryota; Metazoa; Chordata; Mammalia; Rodentia; Sciuridae
Source: Rfam